AUUGAACGCUGGCGGCAUGCCUUACACAUGCAAGUCGAACGGUAACAGGUUAAGCUGACGAGUGGCGAACGGGUGAGUAAUAUAUCGGAACGUGCCCAGUCGUGGGGGAUAACUGCUCGAAAGAGCAGCUAAUACCGCAUACGACCUGAGGGUGAAAGCGGGGGAUCGCAAGACCUCGCGCGAUUGGAGCGGCCGAUAUCAGAUUAGGUAGUUGGUGGGGUAAAGGCCCACCAAGCCAACGAUCUGUAGCUGGUCUGAGAGGACGACCAGCCACACUGGGACUGAGACACGGCCCAGACUCCUACGGGAGGCAGCAGUGGGGAAUUUUGGACAAUGGGCGCAAGCCUGAUCCAGCCAUGCCGCGUGCGGGAAGAAGGCCUUCGGGUUGUAAACCGCUUUUGUCAGGGAAGAAAAGGUUCUGGUUAAUACCUGGGACUCAUGACGUACCUGAAGAUAGCCCCG
This 462-nucleotide ribosomal RNA is filed under the name Burkholderiales bacterium oral taxon A57. Its description in RNAcentral is "bacterial SSU rRNA". It matches the Rfam family "Bacterial small subunit ribosomal RNA", at positions 30 to 495 of the family's 1533-position model. Lineage: Bacteria; Pseudomonadati; Pseudomonadota; Betaproteobacteria; Burkholderiales. The record is from RNAcentral.